CUUCAACGAGCCCAACCACAACGGCCGUUCCGGCGCCCGGUCCCGGCCGUAGGUGGCCAGCAGGGCCUGGGCCUC
RNAcentral lists this antisense RNA (75 nucleotides) under Embleya hyalina. RNAcentral describes it as "ASpks TB sRNA". It matches the Rfam family "ASpks TB sRNA". The record is from RNAcentral. Lineage: Bacteria; Bacillati; Actinomycetota; Actinomycetes; Kitasatosporales; Streptomycetaceae.